CGGAUCAAGAUAAGGCGUCCCCUACUAGGGUGGCGACCGAAACGUCGUUGGCAGUUCCGGCACCCCGUCACGGGGCAACGACCUCAAUCCGCUGCAUCGCAGCAGCAUCUCA
Molecule: non-coding RNA, 112 nt
Submitted as: unclassified sequences
Source: Rfam